RNAcentral lists this long non-coding RNA (475 nucleotides) under Nicotiana benthamiana. RNAcentral's name for it is "long non-coding RNA (NBEN_LNC029634)". Lineage: Eukaryota; Viridiplantae; Streptophyta; Magnoliopsida; Solanales; Solanaceae. The record is from RNAcentral.
ACAUUCAUUAGUUUCAGAAGGGUUGGCAACCCCUGGACACCAGCUGCAAUGGUCACACUCAAUGGACUGUCAUAGGAUUGACCCAUGAGAUUGCAGAACUGCCGAGCAAGCUCUUCAGCUAAUUUAUCCCAGUGGAAAGGUGAUAGCAAAUCUGCGUAAGGUGACGAAUCUAGUUUUCCAGCCCAUAAUAGACAGGCCAUGAGCCUCUGGAUCUCUGCCAUAUAUUUGGACAAGCUCUUCAGCCAAUUUAUCCCAGUGGAAAGGUGAUAGCAAAUCUGCGUAAGGUGACGAAUCUAGUUUUCCAGACCACAAUAGACAGGCCAUGAGCCUCUGGAUCUCUGCCAUAUAUUUGGUGGCAAAAGGGGGGAAAAAGGUUCUUGCAUAAUUUAAAGCUCCAUCUCUACCUUUUUUCUGUAGAAUUUCCACAAACUGCUGCCUAUGUAGCUUCAUUUCAAUAUCAGACCCACUUACCUUA